Esox lucius (northern pike) is the source of this 2349-nucleotide long non-coding RNA. The record is from Ensembl. NCBI's taxonomy places the organism in Eukaryota, Metazoa, Chordata, Actinopteri, Esociformes, Esocidae.
GGUAAUCUCUCUGAGUGAUGGUGACAUUGUUAUUACUUACAACAUGUUUUAAUAACUUCCAGAUAAUUCCAGUGAAGUAGCUGUGUCAGUCAGUCCUUCUGGUGAGGUUGUUAGUGGCAGGACAGUGUUGUUAUCCUGCUGCUGUACCACCCGACUCCCAGUAGAGAGCUACACCUGGUAUAGGACUGGACGCUCCAAGGCUGUUCACAAGGGACAGAUAUGGACCAUUGUCAAUAUCAGCACAACAGAGAGUGGAAACUACUAUUGUGAGGCUCUAACCACGGAUGGGUCAUUUAACUCCUCUACAAUGUAUAUUAAUGUCCAAUAUGCUCCAAGAAACACAUCUGUGUCAGUCUAUCCUCUUGGAGAGGUAGUGUUGGGCAGCUCUGUGACUCUGUCAUGCAACAGUGAUGCCCACCCCCUAGUGGAGAGCUACACCUGGCUUCACAGGACAGAAUUCCAAACAUCAUUGAGAGGGUCAGGAAGGAGUUACAGCAUUGCUAGCAUUCGUCCUGAGGACAGUGGACAGUACUGCUGUGUGGUGGUAAAUAAGCAUGGAUCACACAGUGGUAAUGUAACAAUCACUGUGGUAAAUGCAAAUGGCAAGACUUCUUCUCUGUGGAGGAGGUUGGUGACAGUCGGGAUCCCUGUUGCUCUCACACUGAUCUUCAUAAUAACACUGGCUUGCAUAAGGAUGAAACGUGCAUCGAGUCAUCAAGCAUUGAGUCUCUCAGAGACCACCAUUUCACUGCCUUUAUCAUAAUGAUACAUCAAGGACGACCAUAACAUGCAUAUGGAUGAGACAGCUGCAUUGGCUACAAUUGAUGGAAACUGAAUGAACGGUGGGGAAGUGCCUAGUUUCCAGCCACACAGUUGCACAAAAGUCUCAAUUCAACUCUUUCAAUCCCAUUUUCAAUCCCAAUCCUGUUUCCAUUGAUCAUCCUUGAGAUGUUUCUACAACUUGACUGGAGUCCAUCUGUGUCAUAUUUAACUGAUUGGUCAUGGUAUGGGAAGGCACUCAUCUGUCCAUACAGUGCUAUUACAAGAACCUUACAGGGAUGGUUAUUAAAAUAUUAAAAUAAACCCGUAAAAAACAAGGGCAAAUAAAAAUGUGUAAUAAAGAUAUUCAAAUUAUAUGUUUUCAUUGUUUAUUUUUUUUUUAACAAAAAUGUAAUAAUUAAUGUGUGCAAAUCCAUGUAAACCCCCUAUUCUUUAGUUUGUGCAACCUCCAUUUGUGGCAAUUACUUGGAGUUUAUGUCUACCACAGCCACUAAUCAGUCUCUGACAUCUUUUUUUGAGGGACAUUUUGCACAGUCAGUUUGCACAGUCAGUUUGCACAGUCAUUUUGCACAGAAGUCACCCGAUUGAGUGAGAUUUGUGGGGUGUACUACCUGCUUCAGGUCCUACCACAGCAUCUCGAUUGAAUUUAGAUCAGGACUUUGACUUGUCAAAUGUUAUUUCUCCUGAGCCCUUUGGGAGAUUUGCUUGAAUUCUUUUGGUCGAUGUCUUGUUGGAAGAACAGUUUUUGGCCCAGCUUUACCUCCUUGACUGAUUUCCUGACAUUCGAUUCUCUCAUAGUGAACAAUGAACUCACAGUUCUCUUGAUGAUGUUCAGUCAACCAUGUCUGAAUGUUGAGAAGGUGCUUUAGGUGGUCGGCAUUGUUGGGUUUUUGCCAAACAUAGCGGUUUUGAUUGUGACAAAAAGGUCAAAUUUGGACUCAUCUUUCCAGAGAAUGGACUUCCAGAAAGCUUCAGGUUUUUCCAGUUCCAGUCUGUGGCAAAGUUAAGACAGCAGUUUGCUUCUUUUUUGACAGCAGAGACUACAUCCUACCAACCCUCCCAUGAAUGCCAUUUCACUUCAGUGUUGUUCUUAUGGUUACAACAUGCAGAGUAACCUGAGAUGGUUUGUUGUUAUGUUUGGUUUGACAAUUACCUGAUGAAUUAUUUGUCUUGUAGCUUUUGGGGAUAUUUUGGACAUCCACAUGAAAGGAUAAAGGGCAUCCACAUCUGGGCCAAGUUGCUGUGAUGCUCUCCAUUUGUAAAUGUUUUGUAAAGUAUUUUUGUAUAGCCUUCCCCGGACUCACUACCCUCUUCCUGGUGUCCUCUGAGAACUCCUUUCAUUUGCAUGGUGUGUUUUGCCUUCACCUGAAUGUGUAACACCAAAAUGACCAAAGUGCCCCACCCCAACCUAAGACUAAAAUCCUUAAUUUGAUCAGUUCAGUUUGUACCCAAUUAUGAACCCACCUGAUUUUACUUACCUAAUUAAUUCCUUUUUAUUUUGUUUUACUAUACAUAUGAUUUCCUUUAAACCAACAUAUGGAGUUGAUAACAAUAAACCUGUUAUGUCAC